GACGAACGCUGGCGGCGUGCUUAACACAUGCAAGUCGAGCGGAGCGGCGAACGGGUGAGUAACGCGUGAGUAACUGCCCCCCUCUCUGGGAUAACAGUUGGAAACGGCUGCUAAUACCGGAUAGUGGGGGAUGAAUGGCGUCAUAUCAGCUUGUUGGUGGGGUAAUGGCCUACCAAGGGGACGACGGGGAGCCGGCCUGCGGGGGCGACCGGCCAAAUUGGGAUGGGAUACGGCCCGUACUCCUACGGGAGGCAGCAGUGGGGGAUAUUGCACAAUGGGGGAAACCCUCAUGCAGAAACGCCGCGUGCGGGAUGACGGCCUUCGGGUUGUAAACCGCUUUCAGCCAUGACGCGGUAGUAGCAGAAGAAGCACCGGCUAACUACGUGCCAGCAGCCGCGGUAAUAC
This 405-nucleotide ribosomal RNA is filed under the name uncultured bacterium. Its description in RNAcentral is "partial 16S ribosomal RNA". It matches the Rfam family "Bacterial small subunit ribosomal RNA", at positions 28 to 526 of the family's 1533-position model. The record is from RNAcentral.